Molecule: RNA transcript, 4729 nt
Organism: Sapajus apella (tufted capuchin)
Lineage: Eukaryota; Metazoa; Chordata; Mammalia; Primates; Cebidae
Gene: MAP4K3
Gene name: mitogen-activated protein kinase kinase kinase kinase 3
Exons: 34
Source: RefSeq, a predicted model, not a curated record
AAGGGGAGGGGGAGGAGCGGUGAAAGCGGAAGCCAUGUUGGAGUUUCACCCCGAGCGAGGGGCUGCGAGGGUUCUCCUCUCCUUGUGGGUGUGACCGAGUUCGGCGCGGUGGCGGGCUGCGAGGGGCGGGGACGGUUGGGCCGUUCGUCGUCGUCCGCAGCGGCGUGAGGGGAGCGGCGGCGGCGGCGGCGGCGGCGGCGGUGGCCGCAGCAGCGUGGAGCCGGGCGAUUGUGACCGCCGGGGGAGCCGGGGUCCGGCCGCGGCGCCCUCUCUCCGUGUGGCCCCCUGAGCGCGCCCCCCCUCCCCUGCCCGGGAGGGAGGCUGGGGGCACCUGGGGCCCGCCAUGAACCCCGGCUUCGACCUGUCCCGCCGGAACCCGCAGGAGGACUUCGAGCUGAUUCAGCGCAUCGGCAGCGGCACCUACGGCGACGUCUACAAGGCACGGAAUGUUAACACUGGUGAAUUAGCAGCAAUUAAAGUAAUAAAAUUGGAACCAGGAGAAGACUUUGCAGUUGUGCAGCAAGAAAUUAUUAUGAUGAAAGACUGUAAACACCCAAAUAUUGUUGCUUAUUUUGGAAGCUAUCUCAGGCGAGAUAAGCUUUGGAUUUGCAUGGAGUUUUGUGGAGGUGGUUCUUUACAGGAUAUUUAUCAUGUAACUGGACCUUUGUCAGAGCUGCAGAUUGCAUAUGUUAGCAGAGAAACACUGCAGGGAUUGUAUUAUCUUCACAGUAAAGGAAAAAUGCACAGAGACAUAAAGGGAGCUAACAUUCUAUUAACGGAUAAUGGUCAUGUGAAAUUGGCUGAUUUUGGAGUAUCUGCACAGAUAACAGCUACAAUUGCCAAACGGAAGUCUUUCAUUGGCACACCAUAUUGGAUGGCUCCAGAAGUCGCAGCUGUUGAGAGGAAGGGGGGUUACAAUCAACUCUGUGAUCUCUGGGCAGUGGGAAUCACUGCCAUAGAACUUGCAGAGCUUCAGCCUCCUAUGUUUGACUUACACCCAAUGAGAGCAUUAUUUCUAAUGACAAAAAGCAAUUUUCAGCCCCCUAAACUAAAGGAUAAAAUGAAGUGGUCAAAUAGUUUUCAUCAUUUUGUGAAAAUGGCACUUACCAAAAAUCCGAAAAAAAGACCUACUGCUGAAAAAUUAUUACAGCAUCCUUUUGUAACACAACAUUUGACACGGUCUUUGGCAAUCGAGCUGUUGGAUAAAGUAAAUAAUCCAGAUCAUUCCACUUACCAUGAUUUCGAUGAUGAUGACCCUGAGCCUCUUGUUGCUGUACCACAUAGAAUUCACUCAACAAGUAGAAAUGUGAGAGAAGAAAAAACACGCUCAGAGAUAAACUUUGGCCAAGUGAAAUUUGAUCCUCCCUUAAGAAAGGAGACAGAACCACAUCAUGAACUUCCCGACACUGAUGGUUUUUUGGACAGUUCAGAAGAAAUAUACUACACUGCAAGAUCUAAUCUGGAUCUACAACUGGAAUAUGGACAAGGACAUCGAGGUAGUUACUUUUUAGGUGCAAACAAGAGCCUUCUCAAGUCUGUUGAAGAAGAAUUGCAUCAGCGAGGACAUGUGGCACAUUUAGAAGAUGAUGAAGGGGAUGAUGAUGACUCUAAACAUUCAACUCUGAAAGCAAAAGUUCCACCUCCUUUACCACCAAAGCCUAAGUCUGUCUUCAUACCACAGGAAACGCUUUCUGCUGAGGAUGAUAAUCAAGGAACAAUCAAGAGAUGUCCCUUGUCAGGGAGCCCAGCAAAGCCAUCCCAAGUUCCACCUAGACCACCACCUCCCAGAUUACCCCCACAAAAACCUGUUCCCUUAGGAAAUGGAGUGAGCUCCUUCCAGUUAAAUGGUGAACGAGAUGGCUCAUUACAUCAACAGAAUGAACAUAGAGGCACGAACCUUUCAAGAAAAGAAAAGAAAGAUGUACCAAAGCCUAUUAGUAAUGGUCUUCCUCCAACACCUAAAGUGCAUAUGGGUGCAUGUUUUUCAAAAGUUUUUAAUGGGUGUCCCUUGAAAAUUCACUGUGCAUCAUCAUGGAUAAACCCAGAUACAAGAGAUCAGUACUUGAUCUUUGGUGCCGAAGAAGGGAUUUAUACCCUGAAUCUUAAUGAACUUCAUGAAACAUCAAUGGAACAGCUAUUCCCUCGAAGGUGUACAUGGUUGUAUGUAAUGAACAAUUGCUUGCUAUCAAUAUCUGGUAAAGCUUCUCAGCUUUAUUCCCAUAAUUUACCAGGGCUUUUUGAUUAUGCAAGACAAAUGCAAAAGUUACCUGUUGCUAUUCCAGCACACAAACUCCCUGACAGAAUACUGCCAAGGAAAUUUUCUGUAUCAACAAAAAUCCCUGAAACCAAGUCGUGUCAGAAGUGUUGUGUUGUAAGAAAUCCUUAUACAGGCCAUAAAUACCUAUGUGGAGCACUUCAGACUAGCAUUGUUCUAUUGGAAUGGGUUGAACCAAUGCAGAAAUUUAUGUUAAUUAAGCACAUAGAUUUUCCUAUACCCUGUCCACUUAGAAUGUUUGAAAUGCUGGUAGUUCCUGAACAGGAGUACCCUUUAGUUUGCGUUGGUGUCAGUAGAGGUAGAGACUUCAACCAGGUGGUUCGAUUUGAGACGGUGAAUCCAAAUUCUACCUCUUCGUGGUUUACAGAAUCAGAUACCCCACAGACAAAUGUUACUCAUGUAACCCAGCUGGAGAGAGAUACCAUUCUUGUAUGCUUGGACUGUUGUAUAAAAAUAGUAAAUCUCCAAGGAAGAUUAAAAUCUAGCAGAAAAUUAUCAUCAGAACUCACCUUUGAUUUCCAGAUUGAAUCAAUAGUAAUUGAGCUGUUCUUGCCUGCUAGUUUGCCUACAAGACAGUGUGCUGGCUUUCUGGAAACAUGGAAUGCAAGGUAGAAGUUUUAGAUCUAAUGAGGUAACACAAGAAAUUUCAGAUAGCACAAGAAUUUUCAGGCUGCUUGGAUCUGACAGGGUCGUGGUUUUGGAAAGUAGGCCAACUGAUAACCCCACAGCAAAUAGCAAUUUAUACAUCCUGGCGGGUCAUGAAAACAGUUACUGAGAAUUGUUGUGCUUUGACAGUUAACUCUAGAAAGAAAGAACACUACCGCUGCAACAUUAAUGGAUGCUUGAAGCUGUACAAAAGCUGCAGUAACCUGUCUUCAGUUACUUUGUAAUUUAUUGUGGCAUGAGACAAGAGGGGGAAAAUUUUGUUUUAAGUGGUAUGGAUAUAUUUAGCAUAUUGAACCACACAAGUGCUUAAUUCAUUGUUAUGUAAUCUUUGUACAUAUAGGCAGUAUUUUUUCUGUGCAACUUCAUAUUGCUGAAGACAUACACUAAGAAUUGAUGUAGAUAAUGUACUUUUAUGAGAUGUACAAGUAAGUGUCUUAUCUGUACAGAUGUAAAUGUUGAUGAAAAUGCAAUUGGGGUUAAUAUUUUAAGAAUUCUUUAGUAUAUUCUUGGGUGUGGCUAUAUUACAAAAUGGGAUGCUGGCAAUGAAACAAUACACUUAACACUAUUGUAUUUUUAUUAUAUGUAAUUUAGUAAUAUGAAUAUAAAUCUUGUAACUUUUAAAAUUGUAAUGGAGGCUGUAAUCAUUUUAUAAUCGUUUUUAAUUUUAAUGCAAGUACACUGGUGUUUAUAUUUGCACAAAGUAUUGAUAUGUGAUGUAUUAAGUCACAAAAGUAAGCUGUGACACUGUCUAUAAGCAUUUGGCUCUACAGAUGUAUUUGGAUUGUUUUCUAUGUGAAGCAAACCAAUUACAAUUAACCAACUGUUGUAGUAACUGGUCUUUUUAUAUUUAAGCAGAAUCCUGUAAUACUGCUUGUCUUUGCUUAAAAACAAUACCUUUGAACAUUUUUGAAUCACAGAAUAGCGGUACCGUGAUAUAAUACUGCAGUUGUGGUCUGAAUUACAGUAUGCACAAAGAAUUAAUUAGCAUUAUUAAAGAGUCCUCACUAAACAUUUCAUAUAAUCACAUUGAAGAACUGUAACAUUCCAUAGAGUGAAGUGGUUCAAAUGUCUCGUGGAAUUUUUACUUUUGUUGGCCUUAUUUUAUGAUCCUUUUCAUAUUUCUUUUGAUUGAGAGUAUUAAAACAUGGCCAAAAUGAUUUAGUUACUACCUCAUACAAACAAUAUAAUGGUUACUACACAUCACAGGAACUUAGUUUUGGUUUAAGUCAUUUUUGAUUGCUUUUUUCCAAUGGAAUAUGUAUAUACCAAGUUUUAGCAAAAUGCACACUUUUGGCUCUUUUUGGUAUACGUUCUUUAUAUUUUAAUGUGAGUAUAUACAUUAAGAACAAACUAAAUUGUGAUUUAUGGUCUUCAGUUAUUUUAAUUGAUAAUGGUUUUAAAAUAUGUUCCUGAUUGUACAUAUUGUAAAAUAAACAUGUUUUUUAACAUGCUGUUGUAUAGUAGCUUGUCAUGUGGCUUAAUCUGUAUAUAGUAACACUAAAAUACAUUAAGGGGGAAAACUUCAUUUGUUUUGUAGUUAAAUUCUUAAGUACUCAAUUUUGGUCCCUCAAAUCAUGAUUUUUAUUUGAUCUGUGAUUUCAAUUUCAUGAAGCAUUAAUAUUUCCACAUAGGAGAAUAGCACAUCUUUUGUAGAAUCUUCAGUUUCCUGAUAAGAAAAGUCAAACAUUCAUAAGUUUUCUGGUUAGAGACAGGGGUCCACAAGCUACGGUCCUCAGACCACUCCAGCCUACUGUCUGUUUUUGUAAAUAAACUUUUAAUGGAGCACAA